GGGGAUAUAGCUCAAUUGUACAGCACCUGCCUGGUAAGUGCGAGGUCCUGAGUUCAAUUCCCAAUAUACCCC
This 72-nucleotide transfer RNA is filed under the name Cavia porcellus (domestic guinea pig). It matches the Rfam family "tRNA". From Rfam's summary of the family: Transfer RNA (tRNA) molecules are approximately 80 nucleotides in length. Their secondary structure includes four short double-helical elements and three loops (D, anti-codon, and T loops). Further hydrogen bonds mediate the characteristic L-shaped molecular structure. tRNAs have two regions of fundamental functional importance: the anti-codon, which is responsible for specific mRNA codon recognition, and the 3' end, to which the tRNAs corresponding amino acid is attached (by aminoacyl-tRNA synthetases). tRNAs cope with the degeneracy of the genetic code in two manners: having more than one tRNA (with a specific anti-codon) for a particular amino acid; and 'wobble' base-pairing, i.e. permitting non-standard base-pairing at the 3rd anti-codon position. The record is from Rfam by way of RNAcentral. Lineage: Eukaryota; Metazoa; Chordata; Mammalia; Rodentia; Caviidae.